RNAcentral lists this ribosomal RNA (405 nucleotides) under bacterium. Its description in RNAcentral is "bacterial SSU rRNA". It matches the Rfam family "Bacterial small subunit ribosomal RNA", at positions 354 to 776 of the family's 1533-position model. RNAcentral also lists the same sequence under 1 other name. The record is from RNAcentral.
GUGGGGAAUAUUGCACAAUGGGGGAAACCCUGAUGCAGCGACGCCGCGUGAGUGAAGAAGUAUCUCGGUAUGUAAAGCUCUAUCAGCAGGGAAGAAAAUGACGGUACCUGACUAAGAAGCCCCGGCUAACUACGUGCCAGCAGCCGCGGUAAUACGUAGGGGGCAAGCGUUAUCCGGAUUUACUGGGUGUAAAGGGAGCGUAGACGGCGGAGCAAGUCUGAAGUGAAAGCCCGGGGCUCAACCCCGGGACUGCUUUGGAAACUGUUCUGCUAGAGUGCUGGAGAGGUAAGUGGAAUUCCUAGUGUAGCGGUGAAAUGCGUAGAUAUUAGGAGGAACACCAGUGGCGAAGGCGGCUUACUGGACAGUAACUGACGUUGAGGCUCGAAAGCGUGGGGAGCAAACAGG